RNAcentral lists this ribosomal RNA (380 nucleotides) under uncultured bacterium. RNAcentral's name for it is "bacterial SSU rRNA". It matches the Rfam family "Bacterial small subunit ribosomal RNA", at positions 32 to 411 of the family's 1533-position model. The record is from RNAcentral.
AAUCAACGCUGGCGGCGCGCUUAACACAUGCAAGUCGCACGAGAAAGUGGAGCAAUCCAUGAGUACAGUGGCGUACGGGUGAGUAACACGUGGAUUAUCUACCUUCUAGUGGGGAAUACCUCCGGGAAACUGGAGACAAUACCGCAUAAGCUCGUAAGAGGAAAGCGUUGCCUUAAAAACAACGCGCUGGAAGAGGAGUCCGCGGCUGAUUAGCUAGUUGGCGGGGUAAUGGCCCACCAAGGCGAAGAUCGGUAGCCGGCCUGAGAGGGCACACGGCCACACUGGCACUGAAACACGGGCCAGACUCCUACGGGAGGCAGCAGUGGGGAAUCUUGCACAAUGGAGGAAACUCUGAUGCAGCGACGCCGCGUGAGCGAUGA